Non-coding RNA from Termitomyces sp. 'cryptogamus', 97 nucleotides. Lineage: Eukaryota; Fungi; Basidiomycota; Agaricomycetes; Agaricales; Lyophyllaceae. The record is from the annotation of a GenBank genome assembly.
UCUUUGCUAGUAUAUCGGUUAGUACACGCGCCUGUCAUCGUAGAUCGUACUCCAAUCCCGGACGCGCGAAAGCUGGGUUCGACUCCCAGGCAAAGAG